AAGUCGUAACAAGGUUUCCGUAGGUGAACCUGCGGAAGGAUCAUUACUGAAUUUUUAAUGCCUUGGUUGUUGCUGGCCUUUCAUUAGGCAUGUGCACGCCUCGGUUAUUUCCAAAUUCUUUACACCUCUGUGCACUUUACAUGGAUUUUUUUAAAUAUCUUCUUAUUGAUGGACGUUCGAGCUUGCACCGCGAGUUUGACGAAAGUCAAUUGAAGGUUUAAAAUCUGUGGCUUACACAUUUAUACGCUUCAGUUCAAAGAAUGUAAUACUCGCGUUUAACGCAAUUAAAUAAUACAACUUUCAGCAACGGAUCUCUUGGCUCUC
RNAcentral lists this unclassified non-coding RNA (324 nucleotides) under Abortiporus biennis. RNAcentral describes it as "partial internal transcribed spacer region". The stretch from base 1 to 46 matches the Rfam family "Eukaryotic small subunit ribosomal RNA", at positions 1786 to 1831 of the family's 1831-position model. The record is from RNAcentral. Lineage: Eukaryota; Fungi; Basidiomycota; Agaricomycetes; Polyporales; Podoscyphaceae.